This 386-nucleotide long non-coding RNA is filed under the name Gallus gallus (chicken). Lineage: Eukaryota; Metazoa; Chordata; Aves; Galliformes; Phasianidae. The record is from RNAcentral.
GGGGCUGUGUGGGCCGGGGGGGGGCGAAGAAAAAUGGGGCCGAAACUGAGAAAACUGCAGGGCGUUACUAAAGAGCUCAGUUGGAGUCGGAGUCGGAGGAGUCCCCGGAGGAGGAGGAGGAGCUGCUGCUGCCCUCCGAGUCGUUGUCGUCCUCAUCUUCAUCGUCCUCAUCCUCGUCGUCCUCAUCGUUCUCGUCGCCGUCCUCGCUCUCCUCCUCACUGCUGGACUCCGAGGAAUCGCCGCCCUCCUCCGAUGAGUCCCCGUUGUCGUCGUCGUCGUCCUCAUCUUCAUCGUCAUCAUCCUCGUCCUCUUCGUCGUCGUCGUCGUCCUCUGACUCCGACUUGGACUGCAUCGUUGGCUUCAUCUUGGGGUUGGGGCCCCGGAUC